UGGGGAAUAUUGCACAAUGGGCGCAAGCCUGAUGCAGCCAUGCCGCGUGUAUGAAGAAGGCCUUCGGGUUGUAAAGCACUUUCAGCGGGGAGGAAGGCGAUAAGGUUAAUAACCUUGUCGAUUGACGUGACCCGCAGAAGAAGCACCGGCUAACUCCGUGCCAGCAGCCGCGGUAAUACGUAGGUGGCAAGCGUUGUCCGGAUUUAUUGGGCGUAAAGCGAGCGCAGGCGGUUUCUUAAGUCUGAUGUGAAAGCCCCCGGCUCAACCGGGGAGGGUCAUUGGAAACUGGGAGACUUGAGUGCAGAAGAGGAGAGUGGAAUUCCAUGUGUAGCGGUGAAAUGCGUAGAUAUAUGGAGGAACACCAGUGGCGAAGGCGGCUCUCUGGUCUGUAACUGACGCUGAGGCUCGAAAGCGUGGGGAGCAAACAGG
This 429-nucleotide ribosomal RNA is filed under the name Chloroflexota bacterium. RNAcentral describes it as "Chloroflexi bacterium partial 16S ribosomal RNA". It matches the Rfam family "Bacterial small subunit ribosomal RNA", at positions 355 to 776 of the family's 1533-position model. The record is from RNAcentral. Lineage: Bacteria; Bacillati; Chloroflexota.